This is a non-coding RNA of Zonotrichia albicollis (white-throated sparrow), 4958 nucleotides long. The record is from RefSeq and is a predicted model, not a curated record. NCBI's taxonomy places the organism in Eukaryota, Metazoa, Chordata, Aves, Passeriformes, Passerellidae.
CACCGCUCCCUGCAGUGGGCUGUCCCCAGGCGGGGAGCCAGCCUGCGGCGGAGCUCAUGAAGCGAUAAAUGUCAGGCCCGUGAGGCCGCUCGCGCGCAGCUCGAUGCCCGUGGGAAAGGCAGUGCCUCACCGCUUUAUUUAGAACAGCCCGAGAGGCCUUUUCGGUUGCAGUGUCUAUUUUGUACGUAAAAAGCGGAAGUUGGCCACUGCGUUCAAGCGGGAGGUGUGUUACCCUGCCCGAGUAUGGAAAAAUAGCAAGAAAAGCAUCAUUUUGACCAUGUACAAGACUCAUGAAAUUCUAUAUCCACAUUGAAACAAUUAGAUGUCGUAAUUUUUAAGAUUUCCCUAAAACCUCCUUCCCUAGAAGUGCUUCCUACCCCACUGGCUGAGUACUUUUUAAAAUUUAGGUAAUCCAUCUUUAGUUUUGCUACUUUGGAAUGAUGCUGGUGCAACAGAUUGCUUCUGUGACCUACAUAAAAAUUUGGACCUAAAGCAUGAGGUUUGAUUCUCUAGUUUUAAGCAUUCAUCUCGUUACAGGCUGGUCUCGCAUAACUCAGCAAAGUCGUGUGCAGUGUUUUGUAAUUUGUCAGAUGGUGAUAGAAACAUAAGAAACUUUUAGUUUCUUGAACUCCAGUAACAAUAAAAUUCUUCUUUAUAUCGAGCUGGAAGUUCUUAUAGGCUAAUUCUAGAGAUAUGGAAAAUUUUCCUCUCUUUCUAUGUGAAGUUCUUUUCACUUAUUUUUGAUUAACAAAAGUGCUGAAGUGACUGUAUGGUUUAUUUCUUAGAAAUAAAAUCUGAUUAAAAUUUUUAAGGUUCAGCAUAGCAUCUGGAUCUGUCCAGGUAUUGUUAUUUUAUUCUAAAUUUUAGUGAUGAAAAAUAUUGAAAGCAAGACUGACUUGUUGGAAACGGAACUUCCAUUAAUCCUUUUUGUUCUUUUAGGACAAAGCUAUAUGGAGACUAGUUUAUAAUAGAUGGAUUUGCUGGUAGAAGAAAGGCAUCACAUAGGCAAUAGUUUUCAUGAAAAAAUUAAGAGAUAUUUCGUGGAAUGUCUGUGGAUUGUACUAUGUCACUUCUGUCUUCUGUUGCAAGUCUUUUUAACAUUGCUGUUAAUAUGCCAAUAGAUUCCUAGAUAUUUUUGGAUUCGCUAAGGGUUUAUAUCAUCUGAAGGAUGUUUCAAUGUGGGGGGGAAAGGCCAUCCUAAGAACUUAAUGUGCCUCCUUUUCAUGUUGUUUCAGCAUUCCUUAAUUCUCUGGCCAACAUUUAAUUUUCUGCACUGGAAGACAAGAAAAAAGCAGCAGUAUCUUCAUGUAUUACUGUGAUUAAUAAUCUAAUUAAUACUUUCCUAAUCUCACUUUGUCAUGUAGCUGAUCUUUCUAGUGUCUUAAAAAAGAAAUGUGUUUGGAUUUAUGAAUAUCAUUCAUAGGAAUGUCUCUGUUUUAAAAAGUAAUUUCUCUUAGGACAGUGAUUGAAAGAAGGCUAAGAGAUUGGCAGGUAAUACUGAAAUGGCUUCAUAACCCCCAGCACCUCAUUUUAGAGUCCCAUACAGAAUGUGAAGGAUGUCAUUCACCUAUCAGUUGAUGCCUUAAGCUUCGACAUGACUUAAAAUGAACAAUCAAUUUUAAAAAACCAAAAACCCACAAAAAAAACCAAAACAAAAACACCCCCCAAAAAACCCAACUGAAUAAAACACCCCAAAAACAAAGACACAGAAGAAACCCCAUCAGAUCCUCCCACAUCCACUUGGAAAUAUGUCCUUAGCCCAAAGAUUGCUGAAAACAGUCUAGAACUUCAAAAGCUCAUGCAUUAUGCAUGCAUUAAAUACAAUUGGAGCUAGCUGCUGCAUAACCAAAUAAGCCAUAUUUUGUGCAUGGAUUAAAAAUGGCAUAAUGUUAAACUUGACGGUUUUGAUUGUCCUCUGAGGAAUUCAGUUGAGAUAGGAACAUUUACAGUAAUACAUGACUCAGUCAUUCCAGUGAAUCUGUCAUUACUUUAGCCAUCAUUUUAUAUGAUGUUUUGUCGUUCAUUCUAGUCUCACAGUUUAAAUUGUAGAUGGAGAAGCAUUUGAAUUUUGUCAUUCCUAGUUAAGCCAUGCCUGUUUCAGCUGAUGAAACUGUGGGGAACCUUGCUGUGAGAGAUACAGUCCUUACUCCAGCUGGAAUUGAAGGAUUACAAGAAUCAUCAUCUACACAGAAUGUAAAAGCUCGACAAGUCAUAUCAAGAAUCGGUCGAGAGGAACUGGAGGACAGAUUUCUUCGUCUACGUGAUGACCAUAUCCUACUCAAACAGUAUGCCAAUAAGCAAGAGGAGAAAAUUAAAAGAAUGACCACCAAGUUAACACGGCUCGUUAAUGAUAAAAGAAAAUGUGACCAGGCUGGCUCUGGACCCAAGCGGCUGGGUCAGGCUCUGGAGCUGGAAGAAAUGAUUGAGCAUUUGCGAGAAAAAGUCUGUGAGCUUGAGAAACAAAAUGAGAGCCUCCGCAACAAACUCAUUUCAACUAAACAGCAGCUCCAGAUUCAAGGCCAUAGGCCUUGUCAGUACAGCUCCGUUCAGUCUCGUGUGAACACUGGUCUGAAAAAAGAGAGUGAGACUGCUGGCAUGCCAGAGCACACCAAGAAGGGAAUGAGAUUUCAAGGUUUAGAAGUGAGAUCAUCUGACCUUGUGCUUCCUAAAUAUGGACAGAGUCUGCUCGAGGAUUCAAGAGCUGAAAUCAGAAAUUUGGAGACUGUCAUUGAGUCCCAAAAGAACCAAAUUGAGGAAUUAGACCGUGCCAGAGAGAUUCUUGGGAAUCAACUAAGAAGGAAAGAAAAGGAAAUUGAAGAAUCCACCCUACGGCUGAAAGAGCAGGGUACAGCAAGCCAAAGGCUAAACAUUCAGGACAAUGUGGAAAUGAUCAAAGUCCGUAAACAGCUGGCUGAGAAAAGCAAUGCUCUUUCAGCAAUGGAAGGAAAGUUUCUCCAGCUUGAAGAGAACCUAAAGAACUUGAAGACCAACCAUGAUGCUUUAUUAGCAAAAGGUGAUGAACUGAAUGUUCAGCUUAAAGAGGAGCGGUUAAAGUGCUUUCAUCUUCAAAAAGAAUUGCAGACAGUAACUAUUUCAAACAGAAGGACAGAAGAGUUACAGGAAAGAAUAAAUGAUCUAGAAAAUGAGAACAAACUGUUGAAGGAAAACUAUGAUAAGCUGCAUAACAGUGUCUUCAGUCUGCCCCAUGAACAGCAGUGGAAGUCAAAGGAACAGCAACUGAAACUGCAAAUUGCUAAACUAGAGGCAGCUAUCAAAAAUGAUCUAGCAGACAAAAAUGAAAUCCUUGACAAGAUCAAAGUAGAAAGAGACCAAAAGGAAAAGCUGAUGCAAGACAACAAAGACCUGCAGUUGCGCUACCUGGAACAAAAACAGCAACUAGAUGAUCUGAAAAAUCAAGUGAAGUGUUUAACCAAGGAUAGAAAGCAACAAAAGAAUGUGGACCUUCUGUUCUUGGAAAAAGUGGAAGAUGAUAUCCAUAAAGAUGUAGAAUACUCCAUGCAGGAGCUGCAGUUAACACAUGUGGAAACUGUGCAAGAACUUGAAAAGACAAGGAAUUUGUUACUUGUGCAGCAUAAAAUUAGCAAAAAUUACCAGACUGAAGUAGAAACAAUGACAAGAAAGAUGGAAAGUCUACAGAAAGAUUAUGAGUUAAAAUUGGAACAGUAUACCCAUCUUCUCGAUAUUAGAGCUGCACGUAUCAGAAAACUAGAAGCCCAACUAGGAGACAUUGUGUAUGAUACAAAACCACUUAAGUCCAGACAAGAAGUAUUGCUGAAUGAUCCAGUGUGUGGAUUUGUUGAAACUGUUCAUUUAGAAAGAGGAGAGAACCUUUUUGAAAUUCAUAUCAGCAAAGUGAUCUUCUCUUCUGAAGCUAUGCACACUUUUGGUGACUGGGAACCUGCAACCUUUUGUACUUACGCGUUCUAUGACUUUGAACUUCAGAUAACCCCAGUAGUUCAUGGGAAGACCCCAUCAUAUGACUUCACUUCUCAGUUCCUUGUGCAGUCUGAUGAUAGCUUCUUUCACUAUAUACAGGAAAACAGCAUCACACUGGAGGUUCAUCGUGCGUAUGGCAUAGAUUAUGAAACAAUUGCUUCUUGUCAGCUUAAGUUCCAGGAAAUCUUGGAAAAGGAAGGCAAGAUCUACAACACAGCAAAUUUAGUUGGAAAAACAGGACACAUUCAAAAUUAUGGUACUGUAGAAUACUGGAUCAGGUUGCAAGUUCCUAUGGACCAAGCUAUUCUUCCCUACAAACAGAGGUCAAAGGAUCUGGGAUAUGGGAUAAUGCCCAGUUUUAGGAAGCAUGAACAACCAUCCAAGACUCCAACACUCAAAAUGAAGCAUUGUGCAGCUCAAGCACACAAGAGAGUCUCUUUUCUGGAUCUUAGUGCAGUACAGAUGGCACAUGUGGUGCAGGAUGCUAAACAGCUGUUGGGUGACAAAGUGAAGGACAUGGCUGAAGAAAUUCAGCAGGAAAAAGAAGAGCUUUCUCAUCUGUCAGAGGAGCAAUUGGCUGACCUAACAUUGGUUACUUCUAGAGAUGAGACAGAAAUAAUUGAAGAAUUGGAACCAGAAGGAAGUUGAAAAAAUCCAGAUUAAAAUUACAUCACUUGGUCUUACUGAGUCACGAAUAACAGCAGAUGAAACAAUACAGCAGCUGUUUGUAGAAUGCAGAUUAAACAAUUUCCUUGCAGAGGAGACCCCACUGUCACUUCCAAAACCACCUAGUGGUCAGAGAAUUCACUAUAACUAUAGCACUGCGAUAAAUGUAGAUAAGGAAGAUAAUCAUGCAGAAAGAGAGUAUCUCAAGUCAAUUCUUCUAAAGCCAGAUCUACCUGCUGACAGCCUAAAAUUUACAGUGGUCAGUGAUCCUCCAGAAGAUGAGCAGGAUCUUGAAUGUGAGGACAUUGGAUUUGCUUAUGUCAGUUUAAAAGAGA